Molecule: transfer RNA, 71 nt
Filed under: bacterium
Lineage: Bacteria
Description: tRNA-Trp
Rfam family: tRNA
About the family: Transfer RNA (tRNA) molecules are approximately 80 nucleotides in length.
Source: RNAcentral
GGGGGCAUGGUUCAGUGGUAGAAUUUUCGUCUCCAAAACGAAAGACCAAGGUUCGAUUCCUUGUGCCCCCG